This is a long non-coding RNA of Sphaerodactylus townsendi, 163 nucleotides long. RefSeq lists it as uncharacterized. The record is from RefSeq and is a predicted model, not a curated record. The transcript is spliced from 3 exons. Lineage: Eukaryota; Metazoa; Chordata; Lepidosauria; Squamata; Sphaerodactylidae.
UGAGGCCCUCUUUUCUCAGGUCUCUCUGGAGGGGAACAGAACUCUUGCCCUAAACUGGGAAGGCAGCAUCCAUUUUCAGACCAUGUGCUCAGCCAGGUAAUGUGAGCUCUUUGCCAAUGGCAACAUUUUAAGCUCUAAGGACCUACCCUGCUUUCUACCAUCU